AAGCUUGUAUGUCAAUCGGUAGACGAUUGGUCUCCAAAACCAAGGAUCUAGGUUCAAAUCCUAGCAAGCUUG
RNAcentral lists this transfer RNA (72 nucleotides) under Companilactobacillus farciminis. RNAcentral describes it as "tRNA-Trp". It matches the Rfam family "tRNA". From Rfam's summary of the family: Transfer RNA (tRNA) molecules are approximately 80 nucleotides in length. The record is from RNAcentral. Lineage: Bacteria; Bacillati; Bacillota; Bacilli; Lactobacillales; Lactobacillaceae.